Long non-coding RNA from Myotis daubentonii (Daubenton's bat), 842 nucleotides. RefSeq lists it as uncharacterized. The transcript is spliced from 3 exons. Lineage: Eukaryota; Metazoa; Chordata; Mammalia; Chiroptera; Vespertilionidae. The record is from RefSeq and is a predicted model, not a curated record.
UGUAAGUGGUGGAGUUGUGUGGUGAUUUUGUUGUUCCGUUGGUGUGGGAGUGGGCGCGUGUGUUGUUUUCGGGUCCUUCCUUGUGCACGCGGUGGCGUUUUUGGAGUGUGGUUUUCGUGGGUGGUGAGGGAGAGUUGUGUUUGUCCGUGCGCAUGUUGUGGAGUAUGUAGGUGGUGGGUGCGUGCCGUGUUGGUCAGUCCUCGCAUGUGUCUGAGCUGACCGGGAUGUUGUUUGGCAUGUGGGCGUGUUGCCAUGGGUCUUCCAUUGUGCUUGUGCAAGUGUCCUUUACGUAGUAGAAUUGUAAGAGCGUGUGAUGAUGGUUUUCUAAAAGGUCUUUCAGACUCUUGUUUGGUUCCCCCCCCUCAUUUUUCCGUCCCUCUGUCCCUUCAUCUCUGCCUGUGUUUCGAAGAUGUUCCGUGCGAGAAGGUUGAGGGAAGGGCGAUGUCCCCGCUGGCUGUUGGGUGUGAUGGAAGAGUCCAGGUUUUUCCAUGACAGUGGAUUUUCUGUAUCGUUUGACAGAGAGGAACGGAGAGGGAGAGGCCCGGGAUGCAGAGGUGGAACCAUGGAUCCUCUGCUUUCUUCACAGCUUGAAGUGGCGAUGGCUGUGCCUACCUGAGAGGUGCGUGUGCCUUUCCUGGUGGCCAUGUCCAGACGACCGAGGUUGUUGUGAUGGAGGGACCGGUGCCUUGUUUUGGAGGGGCCCGUGCUCCUGCCGUCACCUGGCUAGCCUGGAGUGAUGUUUUGUGCUUGUGAUGCCCCAGUGUCCCCUCAUGGUGUGGCUUCCUUGAGAACGAAGCUAUGACAGUGUGUGCUCUGUAUCGUCUAUCUGUGUAGCUUGUGCU